Molecule: long non-coding RNA, 921 nt
Organism: Trachemys scripta elegans
Lineage: Eukaryota; Metazoa; Chordata; Testudines; Emydidae
Exons: 2
Source: RefSeq, a predicted model, not a curated record
CAACAGUUUUGGCGUCCCUGGGUGGGCUCGAGGAUGAAAUUUAGCCUUGCCCGGAUCCCUCCUGGUGGCCGACGGAUUACGACGACGCCCGACGCCCAGAGCUCACCGGUGACUUCAUCGGGGGCCUCGGCAGAGAUGUGAUUUGCUCGACCCCGGAGGGCACAACGGUGCAACGCACACAGACAGUGGAGAAACAGCUGCGGGCGACGGUGGGGAACCGGUCCCGUUGAUAGGGCGACGGUGACGGUGCAGAACCGGACCCUUGGAUAAGGUAUACCAAAGAUUCACAGCCUCUUCUGCUGGAUACUCCGGUCCACUCCCUGCAGCCUGGUGACUUCGUUCUCGUGCGGACCUGGAAGGACGAGCCUCUUCAAGAGAAGUGGAAGGGACCCUACAUCGUCCUGCUUGUCACCCAUACAGCGGCAAAGGUCGAAGGACACAAGAACUGGAUUCAUCACUCUCGACUGAAAGCAGUGCCCGCUCCUAAACAGUGGACUGUCCAGCCUGCGGAGAAGACUGCUAACGACGAUUUGGGACUUAAGCUGUUAUUCAAAAGACAGUAAGGGUCACUGGGAAUGCGUUGUGAUCUCUCUGAACAGUCACAGCGCAUUCCCCGCGAGAACCCUGAGCAUUGGUUUUAUUUUCUCACAGAAGGCCGACCUGGCCUAUGUAUUUGGUCUUGUUAUUUUUUUGACUUGUUUAGCGUCAACAAUUCUUCUUAUCUUCUGGGCAUUUGGGUUGUUGUAAUUGUGUGUGCCCUUAUUGGAGAAGAGUGUUGUACCUAUGUCCCAGAGUUUUCACAGGACAUUAACAAGCACAUCUUGUCAGCUGAACGGGCCUUUAACCAGUGGAAGGCCCAGGAAAGAGAACCCACUAUUUUGGAUUCCCUUUGGGGUUGGAUACCUGGUUUAGGAGAACUAG